This 301-nucleotide ribosomal RNA is filed under the name uncultured bacterium. RNAcentral's name for it is "partial 16S ribosomal RNA". It matches the Rfam family "Bacterial small subunit ribosomal RNA", at positions 510 to 808 of the family's 1533-position model. The record is from RNAcentral.
CGUAGCCACGGUAAUACGGAGGAUCCAAGCGUUAUCCGGAAUCAUUGGGUUUAAAGGGUCCGUAGGCGGUCUUGUAAGUCAGUGGUGAAAGCCCAUCGCUAAACGGUGGAACGGCCAUUGAUACUGCAGGACUUGAAUUAUUGGGAAGUAACUAGAAUAUGUAGUGUAGCGGUGAAAUGCUUAGAGAUUACAUGGAAUACCAAUUGCGAAGGCAGGUUACUACCAAUUGAUUGACGCUGAUGGACGAAAGCGUGGGUAGCGAACAGGAUUAGAUACCCCAGUAGUCCCUGUCUCUUAUACA